RNAcentral lists this long non-coding RNA (1710 nucleotides) under Homo sapiens (human). RNAcentral's name for it is "HSALNT0060314". Lineage: Eukaryota; Metazoa; Chordata; Mammalia; Primates; Hominidae. The record is from RNAcentral.
CGCGGGCCCAGCGAGUUAUCUUGAUUUCGGCCAAGCUUUCUGACUGCUCCAAAAAACGAAGAAAAAGAUUCAGGGAGAGUAAGAGGAUGAAGAGAGCUGGUGAAGCAGCUGACCAAAUGGCCCGAGGUGGUAUGCAGCCGCGGUAAAGCAGGGCCCCUCCGUGAGGCACAGCCGCCCGGGGGUUCCCUAGGGGAAGCAGGGGCUGCGGCAGACGCCUCUCGGGCAGGUCAGGGUAUGCACCCUCCCGCAGGGGCUCCCAAGGCCGGGCGUGCGUGAGGCCAGGUCCACGGGCACACCACUGUGAACACUGAUUAAACGUGGCCUCCACGGCUUCCAACCCCCAGGACAGGACCAACCCUCUGCCCCCGGCUCAGGCCAGAGCUCGGCGAGACCGUCGCUGUUUAACAAGCAUUUGCUAUACGCCACCUUGCAUUAUGACAGCAUGUGACCCACACAGCCAUCCUAGGAAGCAGCCUCAGAUGGUUCACUCCUGGAAACAUUUUUCCACUUGGCUUCAUGACACCACAGUCCUGGUCUUUCUCGUCCCAGGUAAGGAGAGUCCUGGUCUUUGUCAACCCAGGUGGCCACUAUUACUUUGUCGUCUUAAUAUUCAGUUCUGGAUCUCUUCUUAUUCUAUACCCUUCCUAGGCACUGUCCCCUCCCACAGCCUCCUUCUCACCUUUUCCAUAACCAUGUCUAGGCCCGGCAGCCCCACAUUUACCACUUGCACACCAGACCUUAUAAUUCCAGGCCUGAAUAUCCACCUGCCCAGGGACACUCCCACUUGGAUGUCCCGAGCACCUCCAUUUUGCCAUGUCUGAAACAGAAUUCAGCAUCAGUUCCUCACAACUGGUCUUCUACAGACUUCCCCAGUAAUCCCUCAACCCACCUGCCAAUAUUUAAGCUGUUUGUAAGCCACUCAUGCAAACAUUCAAUAACCCAACUACGUGUCAUAGAUUGGUCUGAACACCUAGCUGUUAACAUAAAGAUGAGCAUAAAAGACAAAACCCCUGCCCUAUUGAAGCUAGUUCAGUAAUCACACACAUUCCAACCGUGGUAUAUGAGGUGGAGAAGAGGUACAAAGGAAAACGAGAGGGUACCACAGGACUUGACUGAGUGUGGCAGGCCACGGAUGGCUCCCUGACACAGUAACCUUAAGUAACACAUCCUGAGGCUGAGCAGGAAUUCAUUAGGUGGAGACAGGGAGCGAACUCCUGCAGAGAGGAAAGAGGGGCAGAAAGCCUGGCACUCACUGGCACUGUCGAUUCCCCACAUGACCUUUCAAUCCCUUGCCUCUUGAGAGGAACCAUCUCUGCUUUGCUCAUCACUGUUUCCUUGAUGCUGAGUAAAACAUGACUCACAGGAAGGAUGCAAAAACUACAAAAAUGGAGGCCUCACUCCACUACUCCAUUCUGUGACAUAAGCCACGUCAACUCUUUCAACACUCUGGCACCACUUUCAACACUCUGGUACUAGAAUAACUCAGUGUUCUAAUAUGUAAAAUGUAAAUGCUUGCCUUGCAAACCUGCUGAGAAGCAAAUCCAUUAUUUAAUGAAUAAAAAGCACUUGAUAAAAGCACUAUUCCCAAAAUUAAGAAUUAAAUUAUGAGAGAUCUUCAACAGACCAAAAACAAAUGUUCACAGUCCCUGCUUUAUUUCCAUUUGUUCACACACGCUUUAAAAAAAAAAAAAAAAACACAUGCACUCACAC